This is a transfer RNA of Camelus ferus (Wild Bactrian camel), 72 nucleotides long. It matches the Rfam family "tRNA". Rfam says of the family: Transfer RNA (tRNA) molecules are approximately 80 nucleotides in length. Their secondary structure includes four short double-helical elements and three loops (D, anti-codon, and T loops). Further hydrogen bonds mediate the characteristic L-shaped molecular structure. tRNAs have two regions of fundamental functional importance: the anti-codon, which is responsible for specific mRNA codon recognition, and the 3' end, to which the tRNAs corresponding amino acid is attached (by aminoacyl-tRNA synthetases). tRNAs cope with the degeneracy of the genetic code in two manners: having more than one tRNA (with a specific anti-codon) for a particular amino acid; and 'wobble' base-pairing, i.e. permitting non-standard base-pairing at the 3rd anti-codon position. The record is from Rfam. NCBI's taxonomy places the organism in Eukaryota, Metazoa, Chordata, Mammalia, Artiodactyla, Camelidae.
GAGGGUAUAGCUCAGUGGUAGAGCAUGUGCUUAGCAUGCAUGAGGUCCUGGGUUCAAUCCCCAGUACCUCCA